This 253-nucleotide non-coding RNA is filed under the name uncultured bacterium. Its description in RNAcentral is "partial 16S ribosomal RNA". It matches the Rfam family "Bacterial small subunit ribosomal RNA", at positions 524 to 776 of the family's 1533-position model. The record is from RNAcentral. RNAcentral also lists the same sequence under 3 other names.
UACGAAGGGGGCUAGCGUUGCUCGGAAUUACUGGGCGUAAAGGGCGCGUAGGCGGCACGAUUAGUCAGGCGUGAAAUUCCUGGGCUCAACCUGGGGACUGCGCUUGAUACGGUCGAGCUAGAGGAUGGAAGAGGGUCGCGGAAUUCCCAGUGUAGAGGUGAAAUUCGUAGAUAUUGGGAAGAACACCGGUGGCGAAGGCGGCGACCUGGUCCAUUACUGACGCUGAGGCGCGACAGCGUGGGGAGCAAACAGG